GAUUACGGCAAUACCACACAGACAACGCCCGAUCUCGUCUGAUCUCGGAAGUUAAGCAGAGUUGGGCUGGGUCAGUACUUGGAUGGGUGACCGCCUGGGAAUACCCGGUGCUGUAAGCA
Ribosomal RNA from Cottoperca gobio, 119 nucleotides. The record is from Ensembl. Lineage: Eukaryota; Metazoa; Chordata; Actinopteri; Perciformes; Bovichtidae.